GCCAGUGUGGCAUAGUGGUUUGAGUACUGGGUUAUGGCUCUGGAGUCCAGGCUUAGAUUCCCUGCUCAGCCA
Non-coding RNA from Phrynosoma platyrhinos (Desert horned lizard), 72 nucleotides. The record is from the annotation of a GenBank genome assembly. NCBI's taxonomy places the organism in Eukaryota, Metazoa, Chordata, Lepidosauria, Squamata, Phrynosomatidae.